Molecule: ribosomal RNA, 258 nt
Filed under: uncultured bacterium
Lineage: Bacteria
Description: partial 16S ribosomal RNA
Rfam family: Bacterial small subunit ribosomal RNA
Source: RNAcentral
CGUAGGGUGCGAGCGUUGUCCGGAUUUAUUGGGCGUAAAAGGGCUCGUAGGUGGUUGAUCGCGUCGGAAGUGUAAUCUUGGGGCUUAACCCUGAGCGUGCUUUCGAUACGGGUUGACUUGAGGAAGGUAGGGGAGAAUGGGAAUUCCUGGUGGAGCGGUGGAAUGCGCAGAUAUCAGGAGGAACACCAAGUGGCGAAGGCGGUUCUCUGGGCCUUUCCUGACGCUGAGGAGCGAAAGCGUGGGGAGCGGAACAGGCUU